This 446-nucleotide ribosomal RNA is filed under the name uncultured prokaryote. RNAcentral describes it as "bacterial SSU rRNA". It matches the Rfam family "Bacterial small subunit ribosomal RNA", at positions 355 to 796 of the family's 1533-position model. The record is from RNAcentral.
UCGAGAAUCUUUCGCAAUGGGCGCAAGCCUGACGGAGCGACGCCGCGUGCGGGAUGAAGGCCUUCGGGUUGUAAACCGCUGUCAGUGGGGAGCAAAUCUCUGGGAGCAAUCUUUCAGAGUUGAGCGAUCCGCAGAGGAAGCGCAGGCUAAGUUCGUGCCAGCAGCCGCGGUAACACGAACUGCGCAAACGUUAUUCGGAAUCACUGGGCUUAAAGAGUCCGUAGGCGGCUCGGCAGGUGAGGUGUGAAAUCCCACGGCUCAACCGUGGAACUGCGCUUCAAAGCGUCGGGCUAGAGGGAGAUAGAGGAGAGCGGAACUGAUGGUGGGGCGGUGAAAUGCGUUGAUAUCAUCAGGAACACCGGUGGCGAAAGCGGCUCUCUGGGUCUCUUCUGACGCUGGGGGACGAAAGCUAGGGGAGCGAACGGGAUUAGAUACCCCCGUAGUCC